Heterocephalus glaber (naked mole-rat) is the source of this 1224-nucleotide long non-coding RNA. RefSeq lists it as uncharacterized. The record is from RefSeq and is a predicted model, not a curated record. NCBI's taxonomy places the organism in Eukaryota, Metazoa, Chordata, Mammalia, Rodentia, Bathyergidae.
UGGGGAGGGGACCUCGGCGGGCGGGCGGGCCGCCCCGCAGGCCUGAGACUCUGUCCCGGGAAGGGAGUGCGGGGUCCGCGGGCCGCUGGACGGUGUUUCAUUUAGGGGGCGCGGGACGAGCUGGGGAGCCCGCACUGGGGACCCUGUGCCGCCUUCCCUUGGUCGAGCGUGGGGCGGGGACGGCAGUGACUCCCAGCUGCCGCCUCCCCUCCAGGUGGUCGACUGCCCUUCUCAGCGUCGAAAGUCAAGUUCAGGUCCGGGUCUGCACCCCAGUCGCGGAAAGGAGGGAGAACUCAGACCCCGCUCAGCCCGCGCCCCGCAGUUGUGCCCCGCUCCAAACCGGGGAACAGACCGCGGUCCUGAACGCGCCCGCCUCCUGCCUUGGCGCCAGGGUCGGCUGUGGGCUGCUGCCUAAGGACAGCUUCCUGGCCUUCUCGUCCAAGUAGACAAGGGAAGUGGGGACAGAAGGACAAAGUUCAGUGGCACAGAGACCGUGUUCUGCUUUGGGGGCCGUGGUGGCGAGAAGGGUUUUUUGUUUUUUUGGUUUUUUUCUGAGACCGGGUCUCGCUGUGUAGUCCAGGCUGACAGAGAACUCAUUGUGAUCCUCCUGCCUCAGCCUCCCAAAUGCUGGAAUCACAGGUGUGCGCCACCAGGCCUGGCUUAGUGGCCUUUGAAGGAGAUCGAACUUGGGACCUUGCGCUUUCAAGGCAGGCACCGGAACCAGUGAGCUAAAUCCCUGGCCCUGGACUAUAAAUUCUUUGAGUGCAUUGGUGUGUCUUACUCAUCUUCCUGUGUCCUACUGCUCUUUAUGUGAAGGGGCACAGAAUUGCUACUGGACUUCGUCACAGGAACUCUGAUUUGGUUUAGUGCUACAAUUAGAGCAAAGGUUCAGGGUGACAUGGAUACCUGGUUAGUCUGAAGAAGACAAGGGGUGUGACUGGAGAAGCUCAGGGAAGCUACAUCAAAACAGGAACCACAGUUUUCUUUAGGAAACGGAAAUCUUUCAUUUAUAUUGUAAAUGUAAAUGUACUUCUUUUUUUUUUGGUACCGGGGAUCAAACUCCAGACCUUGCACUUUUGAGGCAAGCGGCGGAACCACUGAGCUAAAUCCUGGCCCAUGUACUUCUGAAUUGUGUAAAUAUUUGAAGAGUGGAUGUUAUGUUUUGUUUCUUUCAUUUUUUGUUGGGGUUUAAGGUACAUACAAUGAAGUAUACAUUUUGCUGUU